RNAcentral lists this ribosomal RNA (298 nucleotides) under uncultured bacterium. RNAcentral describes it as "partial 16S ribosomal RNA". It matches the Rfam family "Bacterial small subunit ribosomal RNA", at positions 29 to 319 of the family's 1533-position model. The record is from RNAcentral.
AACGAACGCUGGCGGCGCGCCUAAUACAUGCAAGUCGAGCGAGAAGACGUAGCAAUACGUUUGUAAAGCGGCGAACGGGUGAGGAAUACAUGGGUAACCUACCCUCGAGUGGGGAAUAACUAGCCGAAAGGUUAGCUAAUACCGCGUACGCUCCUUGGACUUCGGUUCAGGGAGAAAGCGAUACCGUGGGUAUCGCGCUCUUGGAUGGGCUCAUGUCCUAUCAGCUUGUUGGUGAGGAACGGCUCACCAAGGCUUCGACGGGCAGCUGGUCUGAGAGGACGAUCAGCCACACUGGCAC